RNAcentral lists this unclassified non-coding RNA (325 nucleotides) under soil metagenome. Its description in RNAcentral is "partial contains 5.8S ribosomal RNA, internal transcribed spacer 2, and large subunit ribosomal RNA". The stretch from base 1 to 120 matches the Rfam family "5.8S ribosomal RNA", at positions 35 to 154 of the family's 154-position model. The record is from RNAcentral.
GAUGAAGAACGUAGCGAAAUGCGAUAAGUAAUGUGAAUUGCAGAAUUCAGUGAAUCAUCGAAUCUUUGAACGCACAUUGCGCCCUCUGGUAUUCCGGGGGGCAUGCCUGUUCGAGCGUCAUUAUAACCACUCAAGCUCUCGCUUGGUAUUGGGGUUCGCGGUUUCGCGGCCCCUAAAAUCAGUGGCGGUGCCUGUCGGCUCUACGCGUAGUAAUACUUCUCGCGAUUGAGUUCGAUAGGUCUACUUGCCAGUAACCCCCAAUUUUUACAGGUUGACCUCGGAUCAGGUAGGGAUACCCGCUGAACUUAAGCAUAUCAAUAGAGGA